GACGAACGCUGGCGGCGUGCUUAACACAUGCAAGUCGAACGGAAAGGCCCUGCUUUCGUGGGGUGCUCGCGUGGCGAACGGGUGAGUAACCCGUGAGUAACCUGCCCUUGACUUUGGGAUAACUUCAGGAAACUGGGGCUAAUACCGGAUAGGAGCUCCUGCUGCAUGGUGGGGGUUGGAAAGUUUCGGCGGAUGGGGAUGGACUCGCGGCUUAUCAGCUUGUUGGUGGGGUAGUGGCUUACCAAGGCUUUGACGGGUAGCCGGCCUGAGAGGGUGACCGGCCACAUUGGGACUAAGAUACGGCCCAGACUCCUACGGGAGGCAGCGGUGGGGAAUAUUGCACAAUGGGCGGAAGCCUGAUGCAGCAACGCCGCGUGCGGGAUGACGGCCUUCGGGUGGUAAACCGCUUUCGCCUGUGACGAAGCGUGAGUGACGGUAAUGGGUAAAGAAGCACCGGCUAACUACGUG
Molecule: ribosomal RNA, 468 nt
Filed under: uncultured bacterium
Lineage: Bacteria
Description: partial 16S ribosomal RNA
Rfam family: Bacterial small subunit ribosomal RNA
Source: RNAcentral